AAAAUAAUCCUACCUUUGUGAAUUUUGUUUGUUUGAAUAAUUUUUUUUUUUAAAAAAUUAUUGGAGUCUUUCCCUUUAGAGUUUGCUUUUGAGUUUGUAAAAGAAUUCGAAAACAUCUAAAGGGGAUGGUCAAUAAUUUUUUUUGAAAAAAGACAUUUUUUAAAAUUAAACUUUUUGUAUUCAUUUGUCUAAAAAUUAUUUUUUAUAAUAUUAAAAACAACUUUUGACAAUGGAUCUCUUGGUUCUCGCAACGAUGAGAACGCAGCAAAAUGCGAUAAGUAGUGUGAAUUGCAGAAUACGUGAAUCACGAAUCUUUGAACGCAUAUUGCACUUUUUAGUUUACUAAAAAAGUAUGUCCGUUUGAGUAUCAGUAAAAUAUUCUCAUAAAAAUCAUUGUGUAUUUUUAUGGUUAUGAGUGUUUUACAACGAUACGAGUUGUUUCACUUUAAAUUUUUUUUUAAUAUUGAAAUUUUUCUAAUUUUAAUAAUUAAAAUUGGAUAAAAUUUUCCCGUCAAAAAGGAAUAACCUAAACAAUUUAAACGAUUAAUUUUAGCAAAAUUUUCGUAAAAAAGGAAAUUUUUAUUAAAAUAACUUGAUCUCAAAUCAGAUAAGAGUACCCGCUGAACUUAAGCAUAUCAAUAAGCGGAGGAAAAGAACUAACAAGGAUUCCCUUAGUAACGGCGAGUGAAGCGGAAGAGCUCAAAUUUGAAAUCUUCAAGGUUUUACCUUGACGAAUUGUAGUUUAAAGAAGUGUUUUCUGCUGAAGUUUUGGUAAAGUUCUUGGAAUAGGACAUCAUAGAGGGUGAGAAUCCCGUAUUUGACCAUCAUUUCAGCUUUGUGAUACACUUUCAAAGAGUCGGAUUGUUUGGGAAUGCAGUCCAAAAUGGGUGGUAAAUUUCAUCUAAAGCUAAAUAUUGGCGAGAGACCGAUAGCGAACAAGUACCGUGAGGGAAAGAUGAAAAGAACUUUGAAAAGAGAGUUAAACGUACGUGAAAUUGUCAAAAGGGAAGCGUUUGACACCAGUGUUGUUUUCUCGAAAAUCAAUUAAAAAUGGCUCGAUUUUGUAUUGCUGAGACCUUAAAAGCUCACUGUACAUUUUUCGUGUCUUUUUUAAUGCACUUUCGUUUAACAAGUCAACAUCAGUUUCUUUUGCUGUAAAAGGGUCAUUGGAAGGUGGCUUUCUUUCGGGGAAAGUGUUUAUAGCCUUUGGCCUCUGCAAUCGGAGAGACUGAGGCCUGCAGCGUAGACUCUUCGGGUUAGAUACAUUUGUGCUAAGUUAUAGCUUUUUAUAGACAACUUGUUGACUAUAAUUAGUCUUGUAGCUUACUCGCUUAUGCUAUUU
RNAcentral lists this unclassified non-coding RNA (1342 nucleotides) under uncultured Neocallimastigales. RNAcentral's name for it is "partial contains internal transcribed spacer 1, 5.8S ribosomal RNA, internal transcribed spacer 2, and large subunit ribosomal RNA". The stretch from base 594 to 1342 matches the Rfam family "Eukaryotic large subunit ribosomal RNA", at positions 1 to 617 of the family's 3401-position model. Lineage: Eukaryota; Fungi; Neocallimastigomycota; Neocallimastigomycetes; Neocallimastigales. The record is from RNAcentral.